Prionailurus viverrinus (fishing cat) is the source of this 298-nucleotide long non-coding RNA. RefSeq lists it as uncharacterized. The transcript is spliced from 4 exons. The record is from RefSeq and is a predicted model, not a curated record. Lineage: Eukaryota; Metazoa; Chordata; Mammalia; Carnivora; Felidae.
GCCGUGGCACCACCGGACAAAAUGGCGGGAGCGGGUGGCAGCGACGGCCAAGCCCUGGCUCCCAGGAUGGAGAUCAUAGAAAUGAGUGAUGAGUUAAGAAGCAAGCAAGAAAUUGUGAAUGGAUUGAAUAUAUUUUUGGAAGAAAAUGAGACUUAAUAUGAGAAGUAAGAAGUUUGGUAUAAUUACAAAUGAAGAAUUCAGAAAACCACCAGAAAAUUCUUGCUUUGGAUUCAAUAUGUCAGCUGGUAUGUACUGUCACUAUUAAAAGUGAGUGCUUUCAGGGGCGCCUGGGUGGCGC